This 204-nucleotide ribosomal RNA is filed under the name uncultured bacterium. RNAcentral's name for it is "partial 16S ribosomal RNA". It matches the Rfam family "Bacterial small subunit ribosomal RNA", at positions 1289 to 1500 of the family's 1533-position model. The record is from RNAcentral.
CAGUUCGGAUCGGAGUCUGCAACCCGACUCCGUGAAGCUGGAUUCGCUAGUAAUCGCGCAUCAGCCAUGGCGCGGUGAAUACGUUCCCGGGCCUUGUACACACCGCCCGUCAAGCCAUGGGAGCCGGGAGUGCCUGAAGUCCGUGACCGCGAGGAGCGGCCUAGGGUAAGACCGGUGACUGGGGCUAAGUCGUAACAAGGUAAC